CCUACGGGAGGCUGCAGUGGGGGAUAUUGCACAAUGGGGGAAACCCUGAUGCAGCGACGCCGCGUGUGGGAAGACGGUCCUCUGGAUUGUAAACCACUGUCCCCAGGGACGAAGAUGACGGUACCUGGGGAGGCAGCUCCGGCUAACUACGUGCCAGCAGCCGCGGGAAUACGUAGGGCGCGAGCGUUGUCCGGAAUUACUGGGUGUAAAGGGCGCGUAGGCGGGACUGCAAGUUAGGUGUCAAAUCUACCGGCUCAACCCGUAGCCGCACUCAAAACUGCAGUUCGUGAGUGAAGUAGAGGCAGGCGGAAUGCCUAGUGUAGCGGUGAAAUGCGUAGAUAUUAGGAGGAACACCAGUUGCGAAGGCGGCCUGCUGGGCUUUUACUGACGCUGAGGCUCGAAAGUGUGGGGAGCAAACAGGAUUAGAUACCCGUGUAGUC
Molecule: ribosomal RNA, 440 nt
Filed under: uncultured bacterium
Lineage: Bacteria
Description: partial 16S ribosomal RNA
Rfam family: Bacterial small subunit ribosomal RNA
Source: RNAcentral